This 475-nucleotide ribosomal RNA is filed under the name uncultured bacterium. RNAcentral describes it as "SSU rRNA". It matches the Rfam family "Bacterial small subunit ribosomal RNA", at positions 26 to 521 of the family's 1533-position model. The record is from RNAcentral.
AGGAUGAACGCUGGCGGCGUGCCUAACACAUGCAAGUCGAACGUCCUGUCUCGCAAGAGGCAGGGAGUGGCGGACGGGUGAGUACCACGUGGGUUAUCUACCGUGAGGUGAGGAAUACCGGCGAGAAAUCGCCGACAAGACCGCAUAGCCUCGGUGCAAGUCGAGGAAAGCUCUCUCGAGAGAGGGAGCGCCACACGAGGAGCCUGCGCCCGAUUAGCUAGCUGGUGGAGUAAUGGUUCACCAGGGCGACGAUCGGUAGCUGGUCUGAGAGGACGAUCAGCCACACUGGGAUUGAGAACGGCCCAGACUCCUACGGGGGCAGCAGUGAGGAAUUUUCGUCAAUGGGGCAACCCUGAACGAGCAACGCCGCGUGCAGGAAGAAGGUUUUCGGAUCGUAAACUGACUUUUCUCGGGGAAGAGAACGGACGGUACCCGAGGAAUCAGCCCCGGCUAACUACGCGCCAGCAGCCGCGGU